This is a long non-coding RNA of Podarcis raffonei (Aeolian wall lizard), 396 nucleotides long. RefSeq lists it as uncharacterized. The record is from RefSeq and is a predicted model, not a curated record. Lineage: Eukaryota; Metazoa; Chordata; Lepidosauria; Squamata; Lacertidae. The transcript has 3 exons.
AGAGAGAGACCCCCCCUCCCCGAGCUCUUGCUGUUGCCCCCACCCCCUUUUUUCUUUUCUCCCACCCUCCCUUUGCAAGGCUGCCUCUGAAAGAGGUGCAGUCAUUCCUACCCACACCCCCUUGCCCAACCCCCCUCUCUCCCCCCCUCUCCCCUUCUAUAAAUUCCCUGCUGUAGCAUGCUGCCCUUUUUGAAUCCACAUUUGUGUUUCAGGUCAUGUAGAAAGGACAGAAAGUGAGGAGGGAGCGGGGGCUUUUGUCUAGUGUUCUCCCUGUGCUGCUCGAAAGAACGUGCAGCCCUAAGUCUUAAUUGAACCUGAGAAUGGUUUAUCAUCCAAGGUUCACAGAAAGCCAGAAGCACAUUCCAAUCAGCCAUGAGCAUGGAGGGUUUCUUCAGG